Molecule: ribosomal RNA, 1336 nt
Filed under: Flavobacterium omnivorum
Lineage: Bacteria; Pseudomonadati; Bacteroidota; Flavobacteriia; Flavobacteriales; Flavobacteriaceae
Description: bacterial SSU rRNA
Source: RNAcentral
ACAUGCAGUCGAGGGGUAUAGUUCUUCGGAAUUAGARACCGGCGCACGGGUGGUAACSGUAUGAAUCUACCUUUCACAGAGGGAUAGCCCAGAGAAAUUUGGAUUAAUACCUCAUAGUAUAGCAGUUUCGCAUGAAACCACUAUUAAAGAUUUAUCGGUGAAAGAUGAGCAUGCGUCCCAUUAGUUAGUUGGUAAGGUAACGGCUUACCAAGACAACGAUGGGUAGGGGUCCUGAGAGGGAGAUCCCCCACACUGGUACUGAGACACGGACCAGACUCMUACGGGAGGCAGCAGUGAGGAAUAUUGGACAAUGGGCGCAAGUGAUCCAGCCAUGCCGCGUGCAGGAUGACGGUCCUAUGGAUUGUAAACUGCUUUUAUACGAGAAGAAACACUCCGACGUGUCGAGCUUGACGGUAUCGUAAGAAUAAGGAUCGGCUAACUCCGUGCCAGCAGCCGCGGUAAUACGGAGGAUCCAAGCGUUAUCCGGAAUCAUUGGGUUUAAAGGGUCCGUAGCGGUCAGAUAAGUCAGUGGUGAAAGCCCAUCGCUCAACGGUGGAACGGCCAUUGAUACUGUCUGACUUGAAUUAUUAGGAAGUAACUAGAAUAUGUAGUGUAGCGGUGAAAUGCUUAGAGAUUACAUGGAAUACCAAUUGCGAAGGCAGGUUACUACUAAUAUAUUGACGCUGAUGGACGAAAGCGUGGGUAGCGAACAGGAUUAGAUACCCUGGUAGUCCACGCCGUAAACGAUGGAUACUAGCUGUUGGGCGCAAGUUCAGUGGCUAAGCGAAAGUGAUAAGUAUCCCACCUGGGGAGUACGUUCGCAAGAAUGAAACUCAAAGGAAUUGACGGGGGCCGCACAAGCGGUGGAGCAUGUGGUUUAAUUCGAUGAUACGCGAGGAACCUUACCAAGGCUUAAAUGUAGAUUGACCGGUUUGGAAACAGACUUUUCGCAAGACAAUUUACAAGGUGCUGCAUGGUUGUCGUCAGCUCGUGCCGUGAGGUGUCAGGUUAAGUCCUAUAACGAGCGCAACCCCUGUUGUUAGUUGCCAGCGAGUCAUGUCGGGAACUCUAACAAGACUGCCAGUGCAAACUGUGAGGAAGGUGGGGAUGACGUCAAAUCAUCACGGCCCUUACSCUUGGGCUACACACGUGCUACAAUGGCCGGUACAGAGAGCAGCCACUGGGCGACCAGGAGCGAAUCUAUAAAACCGGUCACAGUUCGGAUCGGAGUCUGCAACUCGMUCCGUGAAGCUGGAAUCGCUAGUAAUCGGAUAUCAGCCAUGAUCCGGUGAUAUACGUUCCCGGGCCUUGUACACACCGCCCGUCAAGCCAUGGA